This 888-nucleotide ribosomal RNA is filed under the name Claviceps purpurea (ergot fungus). RNAcentral's name for it is "LSU rRNA". It matches the Rfam family "Eukaryotic large subunit ribosomal RNA", at positions 41 to 958 of the family's 3401-position model. The record is from RNAcentral. Lineage: Eukaryota; Fungi; Ascomycota; Sordariomycetes; Hypocreales; Clavicipitaceae. RNAcentral also lists the same sequence under 1 other name.
UAUCAAUAAGCGGAGGAAAAGAAACCAACAGGGAUUGCCCCAGUAACGGCGAGUGAAGCGGCAACAGCUCAAAUUUGAAAUCUGGCCCCUUGGGGCCCGAGUUGUAAUUUGCAGAGGAUACUUUUGGCGAGGCGCCUUCCGAGUUCCCUGGAACGGGACGCCAUAGAGGGUGAGAGCCCCGUCUGGUUGGAUGCCGAGCCUCUGUAAAGUUCCUUCGACGAGUCGAGUAGUUUGGGAAUGCUGCUCUAAAUGGGAGGUAUAUGUCUUCUAAAGCUAAAUAUAGGCCAGAGACCGAUAGCGCACAAGUAGAGUGAUCGAAAGAUGAAAAGCACUUUGGAAAGAGGGUUAAAAAGCACGUGAAAUUGUUGAAAGGGAAGCGCUUGUGACCAGACGUGGGCCUGUCGGAUCAUCCAGCGUUCUCGCUGGUGCACUCCGGCGGGCUCAGGCCAGCAUCAGCUCGUCCCGGGGGACAAAGGCAGCGGGAAUGUGGCUCCUUCGGGAGUGUUAUAGCCCGCUGUGUAAUGCCCUGGGGCGGGCUGAGGUUCGCGCAUCUGCAUGGAUGCUGGCAUAAUGGUUAUCAGCGACCCGUCUUGAAACACGGACCAAGGAGUCGUCUUCGUAUGCGAGUGUUCGGGUGUAAAACCCCUACGCGUAAUGAAAGUGAACGCAGGUGAGAGCUUCGGCGCAUCAUCGACCGAUCCUGAUGUUCUCGGAUGGAUUUGAGUAAGAGCAUACGGGGCCGGACCCGAAAGAAGGUGAACUAUGCCUGUGUAGGGUGAAGCCAGAGGAAACUCUGGUGGAGGCUCGCAGCGGUUCUGACGUGCAAAUCGAUCGUCAAACAUGGGCAUGGGGGCGAAAGACUAAUCGAACCUUCUAGUAGCUGGUUUC